AUUCGCUUUAUCACGGUGGCCUGGAACCGAACCUGCAAUAUCUCCAAGGGCCUUUGAGUGCUUCAACCAAGAGAAUACGGUAGAAGUGAUGGUGUGCCAAUUCCAGGUGUGGCUUUUACCUUGCCUGACUUCUGUUUCCUGCCUCUUGGAAGCCAGCCACUACAUAAGAAAUCCACCCUGAAACCACCAUGUUGUGAGAAGUCCAAGGUCAUAAAAAUAGGCCCUGGAGACAGAGACAUCAGGUAGAGAAGCCAAGGAGCACCAAGGAAACUGAAGAAGUGAAGUGUAAGUGAAGUCAUUUUGGAAAUGGACCUUCCAGCCCCAGCUUCCUUGGCUAUUGCUGUGUAAAUCAGGGGAAAUGCCCAGUGGAGCCCCUCCCAAUUUUUGACCCAAAAAUAUCAUGAGCAAAAUAAAAUGGUUUGUUUUAA
Delphinapterus leucas (beluga whale) is the source of this 428-nucleotide non-coding RNA. The record is from RefSeq and is a predicted model, not a curated record. Lineage: Eukaryota; Metazoa; Chordata; Mammalia; Artiodactyla; Monodontidae.